This 69-nucleotide transfer RNA is filed under the name Ictidomys tridecemlineatus (thirteen-lined ground squirrel). RNAcentral's name for it is "Spermophilus tridecemlineatus (thirteen-lined ground squirrel) tRNA". It matches the Rfam family "tRNA". From Rfam's summary of the family: Transfer RNA (tRNA) molecules are approximately 80 nucleotides in length. The record is from Rfam by way of RNAcentral. Lineage: Eukaryota; Metazoa; Chordata; Mammalia; Rodentia; Sciuridae.
GGUGUUAUAGUUCACUGGCAGAGCAUCUGCUUAGCAUGCACGAAGCCCCAGGUUCAAACCUUAACACUG